CACUUAAAUAUUUAACUAUAAAAAUAAAAAGUUACAAAUAACAUUUUUUUCAAAACUUUUGAUUAGUAUUGAUAGCUGCUAAAUAUUUAUGCCGCUUUUUUUAGUUUUCAUGAUUUCAUGAAAUCAUUCACGAAUUCUUACUCAAUUCUGCAAUAUAAACCACACAAUUCGUACAUGAACGAAGCCGUUAAAGCGCGCCAUCUGUGGCAUCACCAUAAUAACACUUAACUUCAAAAUACUGUGCUAUUGUGACUUCAAGCUUAAACAUAACUGUAAUCCAAAUAAUAGGAAUUUCAAUAAUAAGAAUUGUAGCAGGCUGCGCUGUCAGUUAAAAAUAUUCACUUUUUCCUCUUAUGAUAAAAGCUGAGAAAUAUAUUUAUCGCGUAAAUUGUAGAUACGCCCAUAUUGUUUCUGGCUACCCUGUCGGAAAAAUAUUCGGAUAUUCCUUUUAUGAGAACUGCUAAGCAAUACAUUUAUUACGAGUAUUAUUGGUAUGAAAAAUUUUUCCAUUAGAUAUACUGACAUAUUGCGUUUAUCUCAUAAAGUCUACAUAAAAUCGGUAACCUUAUAAUUUCAAAAAGUUAUUUUGUUGAUCGUAAUGACCAUUUUUACUACUAUAGGAUUCAAUUUAAUAUAAUUACGCAUAACAAUACCUCGAAAAAAGUGUAUGGGAGUGUCAGCUGAUCGCAAAAAACGUAAUUGCCUUCCAAUAAACCAAGAUAUGCAACAACGGCAGAUCUAUUUGCAACGAGCUAGGGA
This is a long non-coding RNA of Rhagoletis zephyria (snowberry fruit fly), 759 nucleotides long. RefSeq lists it as uncharacterized. The record is from RefSeq and is a predicted model, not a curated record. Lineage: Eukaryota; Metazoa; Arthropoda; Insecta; Diptera; Tephritidae.